Molecule: ribosomal RNA, 396 nt
Filed under: uncultured bacterium
Lineage: Bacteria
Description: partial 16S ribosomal RNA
Rfam family: Bacterial small subunit ribosomal RNA
Source: RNAcentral
AUACGUAGGGGGCGAGCGUUGUCCGGAAUGAUUGGGCGUAAAGGGCGCGUAGGCGGCCCGGUAAGUCUGGAGUGAAAGUCCUGUUUUUAAGAUGGGAAUUGCUUUGGAUACUGUCGGGCUUGAGCGCAGGAGAGGUAAGUGGAAUUCCCAGUGUAGCGGUGAAAUGCGUAGAGAUUGGGAGGAACACCAGUGGCGAAGGCGACUUACUGGACUGUAACUGACGCUGAGGCGCGAAAGUGUGGGGAGCAAACAGGAUUAGAUACCCUGGUAGUCCACACUGUAAACGAUGAAUGCUAGGUGUAGGAGGUAUCGACCCCUUCUGUGCCGCAGUAAACACAGUAAGCAUUCCGCCUGGGGAGUACGGUCGCAAGAUUAAAACUCAAAGGAAUUGACGGG